CAACGAUUGGAUCCAGAUGACAUGGCCUUGGCUCCCCCUUUAUAAUUUCCCAGGUCCUUAGAGAAGCUUGGGGAAUCUUUAGGCAACUUCCUGUAGUUGGGUUGGUCCAAUGAUAUGAAUGUCUUACCCACUGAUGGCUAGUGGAAUAAGCCACUCUCUUACAAUGACUAGUGGAAAGUCCCAGGAAGCUUUCAGCUUCGGGUAACAUCAGUUGGGUAAUCAUUGCCAGCUUGGAGAAUGAGUGGUGGCCUUAACUACUUUGGCACCAGCCCUCAUGAGAAAAUACUAUGAGAAAAUACUGUGGAAGGUAUCUUUAUCAAUUGGAUAAGAAAUCUUCCACCCUUUCAGAAGCUGACUUCCAUCUUAUACUCACAAUUGAAUUCUUCUGCAACAAUUUUUGGUACCUCAGCAGAUUACAUGUGCUGUCAUGUAUGAACUGCCCUCUGAAGCAUGAGAACCAGGGAACAACUGUAAUCCAGACCAUGGGAAAUCCUUGUUUCAAAUGCACUGCAGAGAUCAGACGACCGGGAGAUUAAGUUUUGACUGGAGCUCCAGCCUUAAAUAAGACUACUUUUCAGUAUAGAGUCUACACAUUCUAAGUAUCCCAAUAAGUGCAGACUGAGUUGAAUGGAAUGCUGAAUCAAGCUGGAUUUCCACACACCAGGAACCUCUAGGGAUAAUGGCAGCUGGAAACCUUAGUAAGCUGGCUCACCAAUUAGGACAAAGGGGUGAGCCUCCAAUUCUAGUGCAGUGACCUGCCCAGAGCCAAAGUAACAAUUUGUUGCCAACUACUGUAGAUUCUGUUUAUGUGGCAAGGCCCCAGAAGCCUGUGUUUAGAUUAAUGAAAUAUUUGUGCUAAUGCAAAGUUAUUAAAUACACCGUACGUAGUUUAUCAGUCUCCAAAGAUUUAGGCUACGGUAAAAUAUGCUUUAUAAUAAGUAUGGGAGAGAGUGACUAGAACUGUGAUUUAAUUAGUAUGGGGAGGUCCCAGGUGAGAAACCUUCCUGUAUCAAUUCAGGUCAGCACCUUCUCUGCAACCUAGAAACUUGGAGAAUUGCUUAGAGGCUAAAUGACUUGCCCAGGGUCUCACAGGCAGGAUAGUGAGACUUGAAUCCACAUUUAUAUUAUAUAUUAUACCUCUGGUUCUCUAUACUCAUUAAACCAUGAUACUUCAAUAACAACAACAUCAACAGUAACUGACAUUUUUUACAAAUCUUCAAGGUUUUCAAAGUAUGUAUGUGUUUGUAUAUAUGUAUACUAUAUAUGUAGGCAUAUGUCUAUAUAUGUAUGUAUAUCCAC
RNAcentral lists this long non-coding RNA (1299 nucleotides) under Phascolarctos cinereus (koala). RNAcentral's name for it is "lncRNA (ENSPCIG00000035225.1)". Lineage: Eukaryota; Metazoa; Chordata; Mammalia; Diprotodontia; Phascolarctidae. The record is from RNAcentral.